Molecule: long non-coding RNA, 456 nt
Organism: Heterocephalus glaber (naked mole-rat)
Lineage: Eukaryota; Metazoa; Chordata; Mammalia; Rodentia; Bathyergidae
Source: RefSeq, a predicted model, not a curated record
CGCGGGUGCUGCUACCAGAGGGGAAAUUCUUCCCAGGCAGGGGUAGGCGAACCCCCGUGAAAUCCUCUCCAGCCUUGGAAAGACAAGCCUCCUCCAGCCUGGCACAGCCUCGCUGGCUCUCCAGUCCCUGCACAAGCACUGACGACGAGAGCGAUGCACUUCCCAAGGUUUCUCACUGGGGAGCAUGGAGAAGACUUGGGGGAGAGAAGGAAGACUGUUGCAGAUGAGAUGCAUGACUUCUGAAAGUUCUCAAGAAUUGGGCUGGGCUCAGAAGACUGAGGAGAGCAGAGGAGUGACUACCUUCAAAGAACUGCUGGAAAAUGCCAAGAUGAAGGAUUUCCCCCUUGAUAUAAUAAAAAUAAAUCAGAACACUAAUAACACAUAGAAAGACUAUUGAAACAAACAACAUAACAAAAAGAAAACAAGAAAAUGGAAGGAAUAAAGCCUUUUAAAUAG